Molecule: long non-coding RNA, 1648 nt
Organism: Oreochromis aureus
Lineage: Eukaryota; Metazoa; Chordata; Actinopteri; Cichliformes; Cichlidae
Source: Ensembl
UAAACAUGCUAGUAAGGUACAUGAAAUAUUUUUGUAUAUUUCACUUAUGCCAUUUCAUAUUCUUUUCAGAACUCAUGUAAAUACAUAUCAGUCAAAUGUACAAUGUUGUAAAGAGACUUAGGUGGCAGAUUUCUGUUUACACUUGUCUCCACUGUGCGUAAGUGUAAUUCCACAUGUGGAGGAGAGCUGUAGUACUGUUUUAACUAAGCAGCCAGGACCAUAGAGAGCAGUUAAGUUGAUCUUACCGUCACUGAAACUCUAAAGUCGGGUCUCCGACGAAGAAUGAAGCUACGAGAUCUGCCCGUUCAGUAAGCUGACUUUGAAAUCUGAAAAGCUGUUUUGUUUCGGGGUUUUUGUUGUUGUUGUUGUUGCUGCUGUUUGAGGCAGGGAAGCCUUUGUUUGUGUUCAGCUAAGGACAAAGAGCGAGGCCAGCUGGAAGAACUGUGGGCAGCAGUAAAUUAUUCAUUCAAAUAUGUGCAUUAGAUGACAGACAAAAAUCACAGAGCGAAACGGGAAUGUUGAGUGCUCAAUAAAAUUGGGAAGGUGUGAUGGCGUACCACCUCAAAUAUUUGUGCCAAAAUAUAGACUUCUGAAAAUCUCAAGCUGAAACAAACUUCUUUACUUUGGACCAGCUCUGCUUGGUCUCUGAUUUGAUGAGAUUAUUAGAUUUUUUAUUUUAUUUUAUUUUAUUUUUUCAUAUUUAAAAAAGAAAAAAAAACAUAACAAGCAUGUCUGUUGGGGAGUGGGUUGUAGAGAUGUGGACUGAGGAGAAAAAUAAAUGGUCUCCUGAUCUUGAAAAUGAGCAUGUCGUAAAGAAAACUUUUUUUUUGUUAGUUGUGCAAUAUUUUCUUUAACAAAAAAAACUUUGUCAUUUCUUCUGACCACAGUUUGUUACCUUUUUACUUUAGCAUCUCAGUUGCUGGUCUGUACAUUUUUAUUUAUGAGAUUGUUCCUCAAUGUAGAUCAAGUAUACAUACUGUAUAUUGUGAAGUUGUUUUUUUUUCCCCCGAAGAUUUCUUUGUGUUGGGGGGGCGGGAGUUUGUUACAAGUAUAGACCAAGUUAUGAGAUUGAAAUGCGGGGAUUGGGUUUGAGGGAUGGGAACAGGUGACUUUUUGAUGUUUUUGUGAAGUUUGCAUUGGUGGAAAAGAUGUGAAUGAGUAAGUGCCCGGUUUAUUGUAGUUUGUAGACUAGUUAUGUAGAGUGUAAAUGUCAAGUCAUGGUGUGUCUGUAUUCAGCUGUGCAGUCUACCAGCCCCAUUAGUGUUAAAUCUGUCCUCUUCAACCAUGUGUGGUCAUGACUUCCUGCACAUACACACUCAUUCAUCGUUCACAGGAGUUCACAAGUGUAAGCCACUGAGUUCACAUUCAGCGAUGCUAAUGGACUUGGUUAAGGGUUCACUUUAAACUGAUGAUGACCUGUUGUAGAUAUUGUAGGAUUUGGCUUUUCUCUAGAAAAGAUCUGUGCUUUGUAUUUGUAGCUGUAGACUUAAAUGACAAAAAAAAAAAAAAAAACUUGGGAAAAAAACUCUGAUUCUGACUUGGUGACUGAACGUUUAUAGUGAAUGGAUAGUAAGGCAUGCCAUGUAAAUUAUUUUAUAAUUGUAUAUGUCACGCAUCUUUUGAAUAAAAUGUCAUUGUUUCAGAAAAA